This is a long non-coding RNA of Fundulus heteroclitus (mummichog), 515 nucleotides long. RefSeq lists it as uncharacterized. The transcript is spliced from 3 exons. Lineage: Eukaryota; Metazoa; Chordata; Actinopteri; Cyprinodontiformes; Fundulidae. The record is from RefSeq and is a predicted model, not a curated record.
GUCAAGUACUCAGCACUACUAUCAUUUUAAUGAUAUUAAUAAGUUGUAGAGGUCAUCAAAGCAAGCAUUGAUUGCAGCGCUCCCAACUGGAUCCCUACGUCCUCAACUCCUGACACAGGAAAUGCAAAUACUGUGGGGGAUAACUUUGGCACGACACCUGAACACAAUCAAAACUGACUCCCGGAUCUCUAACUCAGAAGUUUCAGGUUUCUGUGUAAAUAAAACUACAAGGACGAUUUGGACUUCCCAAUUACCUAAAGAACAACUCAAUGCUGUGCCUCUGUCUAUGGGUUGGAGAUUUAAUCAGAAGAGGAAGACAAUGAAGAAAAUAAAACGUAAGUAGGCUAUUCUAUGCCUGUUGCCUGUUUGACUUUCCCAGAUGUUAAAAAAAUUAAAAACAUUACACGACUAAAUAAAAUCAUAAGUUAACUCACAUGCUGCAUUAAAAAACAAUGAGUACACAAUGCUUGAAAACACCAAGUUAUUAUUUUUGUUAUUAUAACUUUAUAUAAUUG